UACAGAGGUCCCGAGCGUUGUUCGGAUUUACUGGGCGUAAAGGGUGCGUAGGCGGCGGGGCAAGUUCGGGGUGAAAUCUCCAGGCUCAACUUGGAAAAUGCCCUGAAGACUUCCUUGCUCGAGGGUCGCAGAGGAGACUGGAAUUCUCGGUGUAGCAGUGAAAUGCGUAGAUAUCGAGAGGAACACCGGUGGCGAAGGCGGCUAUCUGGACCGACAUUGACGCUGAGGCGCGAAAGCAUGGGGAGCAAACAGG
RNAcentral lists this ribosomal RNA (253 nucleotides) under uncultured bacterium. Its description in RNAcentral is "partial 16S ribosomal RNA". It matches the Rfam family "Bacterial small subunit ribosomal RNA", at positions 524 to 776 of the family's 1533-position model. The record is from RNAcentral.